RNAcentral lists this ribosomal RNA (306 nucleotides) under Triticum aestivum (bread wheat). RNAcentral's name for it is "partial small subunit ribosomal RNA". Lineage: Eukaryota; Viridiplantae; Streptophyta; Magnoliopsida; Poales; Poaceae. The record is from RNAcentral.
GUGAAAAAAGGUAUGAUUUGGCGUGUGGGUAAUGGUGAACAUAUACGAGUUUGGAGGAACCCUUGGUUCCCUCGAGGGCCUCCAUACAAGCCAAUUCUGACGAAAAGGAACUGCCGUCUGAGUAGAGUUUCGGAGUUCCUAGAUGACCAUGGUUACUGGCGUCUUGACCUUUUGCAACAAUACUUUUGUCAGCCAGAUAUAGAGUCAAUAUUGAGGAUUAGGACAUCCUCACGGCAGCAGGAAGAUUUUGUAUCUUGGCCAUGGGAUAUCUCCGGUCAUCUUACAGUGAAAAGUGCUUACCAUUUU